GCUGGACAUGGUGGUGCAUGCCUGUGUCCUCAGCUACUCAGGAGGCUGAGGUGGGAGGAUAGCUUGAGCCCACAAGUUUGAGAUUGCCUGGGCAACAUAGCGAGAGCCUUU
This 111-nucleotide small RNA is filed under the name Marmota monax (woodchuck). Lineage: Eukaryota; Metazoa; Chordata; Mammalia; Rodentia; Sciuridae. The record is from RNAcentral.